Molecule: ribosomal RNA, 1790 nt
Filed under: Anaerolineales bacterium JdFR-64
Lineage: Bacteria; Bacillati; Chloroflexota; Anaerolineae; Anaerolineales
Description: bacterial LSU rRNA
Rfam family: Bacterial large subunit ribosomal RNA
Source: RNAcentral
GCCUCCAGGGAGUUAAAAAUCCAUCCUCUAGCAGAAUGGUACUGGAAAGGCCAGCCAUAGAUGGUGAUAGCCCAGUAUGCGAAAGGGGAAUGGACUCCCGCCGGUGACCCUGAGUACCACGGGGCACGCUAAUCCUGUGGGAAGCAGGGAGGCCCACCUCCCAAGGCUAAAUACCUUUGGCGACCGAUAGUGAACAAGUACCGUGAGGGAAAGGUGAAAAGAACCCCGGUUAGGGGAGUGAAAUAGAACCUGAAACCGUAUGCCUACAAGCAGUCGGAGGGCUAUGCCGACCGAGGAUUGGUUGGAAUGCCUGACGGCGUGCCUUUUGGAGAAUGAGCCGGCGAGUUAAUCUCUGUGGCAAGGUUAAGGGAGUUACACCCGGAGCCGUAGCGAAAGCGAGUCCGAAGAGGGCGUAAUCAGCUAGAUGAUAGCUGAGAAGUCGCAGGGAUUAGACACGAAACCAGGUGAGCUACCCAUGGCCAGGGUGAAGCGAGACUAACCUCUCGUGGAGGCCCGAACCCUUCAGAGUUGCAAUUCUGAGGGAUGAGCUGUGGGUAGAGGUGAUAUGCCAAACGAACCUGGAGAUAGCUUGUUCUCCCCGAAAUAGCUUUAAGGCUAGCCUCAAGCGUUCAGUGGCGGAGGUAGAGCACUGAAUCGGCUAGGGGGCAUUGCGCUUACCAAACCGAAUCAAACUCCGAAUGCCGUCACUUAAAGCUUGGGAGUCGGACGGUGGGAGAUGAGUUUCAUCGUCGCGAGGGGAAGAGCCCAGACCGUCGGCUAAGGUUCUCAAGUCCUGGCUAAGUGGGGAAGGAUGUGGGAUUACUCAGACAGCCAGGAGGUUGGCCUAGAAGCAGCCAUCCUUUAAAGAGUGCGUAAUAGCUCACUGGUCAAGUGAUCCUGCGCCGAAAAUUUAACGGAGCUUAAGCCAGGCACCGAAGCCACGGAAUUCAGACUAGGAUCUGGAUUGGUAGGGGAGCGUUCCGUACUGCGUAGAAGCCGUACCGGAAGGAGCGGUGGAGCGUACGGAAGUGAGAAUGCCGGCAUGAGUAGCGCAAAAAGCGUGAGAAACGCUUUCGCCGUAAGCCUAAGGUUUCCGACGGAAGGUUAAUCCGCGUCGGGUUAGUCGGGCCUAAGCCGAGGGCGCAAGCCGUAGGCGAUGGACAACAGGUUAAUAUUCCUGUACCACCUGGGUGGAGCGAUGGGGGGACGCAGCAUGGUAGGCCAGCCCCUUAUCGGAUUGGGGUGCUAAGCUCGUAGGGAGAAGAGGGUGGUAGGAAAAUCCGCCACCUGAUCCUGAGGAGUGGGCGGUGCCUUGAGCCAGAAGUGGUUGAGCCAAGCUGCCGAGAAAAGCCUCUAAGCUGUGAAACCCAGGUGCCCGUACCGCAAACCGACACUGGUAGGUGGGGUGAGUAUCCCAAGGCGAUCGGGAGAACCCUCGUUAAGGAACUAGGCAAAAUUGCCCCGUAACUUCGGGAGAAGGGGUGCCCCGUUAGGGUGAAGCGACUAGCUCGUGGAGCCCGAGGGGGCCGCAGAGAAAUGGCCCUGCCGACUGGUUAACAAAACCACAGGUCUCUGCUAACUCGAAAGAGGAAGUAUAGGGGCUGACGCCUGCCCAGUGCCGGAAGGUUAAGGGGAAGGGUUAAUCCUUGUAGCUGGGAACUGGAAGCUGGAAAGCUGGAAAUCGAGAUGGCAACAUCCGAGGACCUGCCUCCGGCAACCAGCUAUCCGGCAUCAAGGAUGAAGCUCGGAACCGAAGCCCCGGUGAACGGCGGCCGUAAGGAAGUUGCGGC